Molecule: long non-coding RNA, 697 nt
Filed under: Homo sapiens (human)
Lineage: Eukaryota; Metazoa; Chordata; Mammalia; Primates; Hominidae
Description: HSALNT0401575
Source: RNAcentral
AAUAAUAAUAAUAAUAAAAAUAUUACUAACCUCAGUGGUUCCUAGUAGGAGUUGACGACGGUUCUCAACCGAGGGUGAUUUUUUUUUCCCCAGAGGAUAUUUGACAAUGUCUGGAGAAAGUUUUGGUUACAACCAGGUGUGGUGUUGCCCCUGGCAUCUGUGAAUGGAGGCCAGGGAUGUUGCUAACCAUCAGACAACACACAGGACAGCCCCCGAAGCAAAGAAUGAGCCAGCCCAAAAUGUCAGUAGCGCCAAGGUUGGGAAACUCUGGGUUAAACUUAUUAAUGCACCAUGUGCUCUCAGGAGGGUAGAGGCCAAGAAGCAUUUUCUGUUGACUUAGCACAAACAAAGUUGCCCACAACAUAAAGGGCUUUCCCAGUCCAGGAAAAUGGAGUAAAGUGCUGGGUGUGAAGAAGGUCAGAGCCAGAGUGAGACCCAUUGUUCUGCAUGAGAGGGGGUGGGGAGAGUGGCAGUGACGCCAGAAAUCUCUGAGUGUGACUCACUGAGAGAAGCCAGCUGGAUGGCAGGGUUGCCAGAGCCUUUGUUCCAAGCUGCAUUUGAGUAGUGAGCUUGAGGUUUUUCCACAGAAGCUUCUCCAUUUCCACCUUUGCAAACUCUGGACUCCAAGGACGCAAGAUGGCCGGAAACAAGAUGGUGGAGCAUGAAGGCCCUUGCCAGAUGACAGCACUAUGCCCUU